UGGGGAAUCUUGCGCAAUGGCCGAAAGGCUGACGCAGCGACGCCGCGUGUGGGAUGAAGCAUUUCGGUGUGUAAACCACUGUUGCCCGGGACGAAUCCGCCUUUUCGAGGGCGUUGACGGUACCGGGUGAGGAAGCACCGGCUAACUCCGUGCCAGCAGCCGCGGUAAUACGGAGGGUGCGAGCGUUGUCCGGAAUCACUGGGCGUAAAGGGCGCGUAGGCGGCGCGGGAAGUCCGUGGUGAAAGCCCGAGGCUCAACUUCGGGUCGGCCAUGGAUACUCCUGGGCUCGAGCACUGUAGAGGCAGGUGGAAUUCCGGGUGUAGCGGUGGAAUGCGUAGAGAUCCGGAAGAACACCGGUGGCGAAGGCGGCCUGCUGGGCAGUAGCUGACGCUGAGGCGCGACAGCGUGGGGAGCAAACAG
Molecule: ribosomal RNA, 420 nt
Filed under: uncultured bacterium
Lineage: Bacteria
Description: bacterial SSU rRNA
Rfam family: Bacterial small subunit ribosomal RNA
Source: RNAcentral